AAGUCGUAACAAGGUUUCCGUAGGUGAACCUGCGGAAGGAUCAUUAUUGAUUUUGAAACAAACUAAAACACAAAAACACAUGAAUGGUGUAACAGCUAUUCGUUUUUGUGUGAAAUACGUGCUGUAUAGUACGUAAUUUAGCACAUAGUUAUGUGCAACUGUUGAACGCAUUGUUUCUUUUAAAUAAAAGAAAUGGAAGCACUUGAUAGAAUUAUUUUGGGUACUUACUACUUAAGUAUAAACGACAAAUCAGUCGUGAUAUUCGCCCAAAAAAAUAUUAAAUCAUUGUGUUUAAAAACCCUCUGUCGUAUUUUACGCCUUAGCUGGCGUAAAUGCGCUUUAUGUUAACAAUAAAUUUGUAAAAAAAUUUAAUUCAACCCUAAGCGGGGGAUCACUUGGUUUGUGG
This 406-nucleotide unclassified non-coding RNA is filed under the name fungal sp. RNAcentral's name for it is "partial internal transcribed spacer region". The stretch from base 1 to 46 matches the Rfam family "Eukaryotic small subunit ribosomal RNA", at positions 1786 to 1831 of the family's 1831-position model. The record is from RNAcentral. Lineage: Eukaryota; Fungi.